AUAAACAGGGCGGCGUGCUAUACAUGCAGUCGAGCGAACUGAUUAGAAGCUUGCUUCUAUGACGUUAGCGGCGGACGGGUGAGUAACACGUGGGCAACCUGCCUGUAAGACUGGGAUAACUCCGGGAAACCGGAGCUAAUACCGGAUAACAUUUUUUCUUGCAUAAGAGAAAAUUGAAAGAUGGUUUCGGCUAUCACUUACAGAUGGGCCCGCGGUGCAUUAGCUAGUUGGUGAGGUAACGGCUCACCAAGGCAACGAUGCAUAGCCGACCUGAGAGGGUGAUCGGCCACACUGGGACUGAGACACGGCCCAGACUCCUACGGGAGGCAGCAGUAGGGAAUCUUCCGCAAUGGACGAAAGUCUGACGGAGCAACGCCGCGUGAGUGAUGAAGGCUUUCGGGUCGUAAAACUCUGUUGUUAGGGAAGAACAAGUACAAGAGUAACUGCUUGUACCUUGACGGUACCUAACCAGAAAGCCACGGCUAACUACGUGCCAGCAGCCGCGGUAAU
Molecule: ribosomal RNA, 510 nt
Filed under: Priestia paraflexa
Lineage: Bacteria; Bacillati; Bacillota; Bacilli; Caryophanales; Bacillaceae
Description: bacterial SSU rRNA
Rfam family: Bacterial small subunit ribosomal RNA
Source: RNAcentral